RNAcentral lists this long non-coding RNA (384 nucleotides) under Acanthaster planci (crown-of-thorns starfish). RNAcentral's name for it is "uncharacterized LOC110990462, transcript variant X1". Lineage: Eukaryota; Metazoa; Echinodermata; Asteroidea; Valvatida; Acanthasteridae. The record is from RNAcentral.
GGAAUUCGCGCCAUUGUAGUUUUUGUUGAAAGAGUGCCCUUCCUUUUCGGAUAGAUUUUGAUAUUUUCCAAAGGUGAGCAUUCUUUGCCCUAGAGAAGCCAAUCAGAGAUGGCAUCAAUCAGUCCGCCUGGCACACGGUCAUCCACGUCUACCCCUGACAGAACCGCCAGCAAGCCACCCUUUGACCUCAAACGGAAGGUCAAAUCGGAGUACAUGAGGUUGCGCCAGCUCAAAAGGUUCAAGAGAGCAGAUACUGUCAGAACCCUUUGGUGCUGUAAUCGUGCAUGUAUAGCAGAGAGCACUCAACGCAACAGCUGCACUUGGCGUGAAGGUCCAUUCCAAUCCAUUCACACCGUAGCUUCGUUUGACCAACUGCCAGUUAUC